This is a long non-coding RNA of Gambusia affinis (western mosquitofish), 300 nucleotides long. RefSeq lists it as uncharacterized. NCBI's taxonomy places the organism in Eukaryota, Metazoa, Chordata, Actinopteri, Cyprinodontiformes, Poeciliidae. The record is from RefSeq and is a predicted model, not a curated record. The transcript is spliced from 3 exons.
CAGACAGCCACCACACAGAGGAAGAGUGUCGCCGUGACAACCCGUUCUCCUUUCCGUCCGCUCUGCAAAUCAUGUUGUCAUGUGUGGAGACAUUAGACAUCCCCUAACACCUUGUUUUAAUCCCUGGAGAGUCGCUAUGACAACCGUAUGAGACAGAGCAGAUUGAAUCCGAUAUGAGAUACGGAGUGGCAGAAACAAUGUGGAGCCUUUCUCACCUGGAAGAGUGACAGUGGCAAGCUGAGGACCUGGAGACCAGGAGGAUGGUUGCUCAUCGAUGACCAUAAUGGUUUAGAAUCUCCA